GGUUGAUCCUGCCAGUAGUCAUAUGCUUGUCCCAAAGACUAAGCCAUGCAUGUCCAAGUAUAAACCAAUAUUUAUACGGUGAAACUGCGAAUGGCUCAUUAUAUCAGUUAUAAUUUAUUUGAUGGUCUCUUUACUACUUGGAUAACCGUGGUAAUUCUAGAGCUAAUACAUGCCAAGAACCUGACUACUCUUGAGUGGAAAGGUUGUAUUUAUUAGAUCACAAACCAAUGCCUUUGGGCUUUUUGGUGAUUCAUAAUAACUUUGCGGAUCGUAUGGCCUCGUGCUGACGACG
This 292-nucleotide ribosomal RNA is filed under the name uncultured eukaryote. Its description in RNAcentral is "partial 18S ribosomal RNA". It matches the Rfam family "Eukaryotic small subunit ribosomal RNA", at positions 6 to 292 of the family's 1831-position model. The record is from RNAcentral.